GGGUCAUACAUAUUGUUUCUAAUUUCCAGAUCACCUGAGUCAAGGAAAUGUACCUGGAAUCGAAUUAUGAUAAAUAAAGAAGGAAUCAGCAGUAGCAAAAGAAAUCAGCAGGUGUAUUCAGCAGGGAAUUAUCAACAACAAUUGAAUCUCGACAGCCAACCAGGAACUCAACCAAAACCCAGUAAACUGAAUACUUUCAAAACCAUAGAAGCAAAUACCACGAUUAGGGACCAGCUAGACAGAAUUAAACCAUAUUUGAAUCUACGAAUGUUUGGAAGAUGAAAAACUGGGCGGAUUUAAUGUAACAGCAGUUUUGUAGAAGUUUUCUGCUAUAUUGUUUUUGGUUUUUUUUAUAAAAUUUAAGAUCUAGAAGAACUUUCUACUCUCAACUUUCAGUUUUUGGCUUUUGAAUUUAAUAUUCAAAUUUUCAGAUGUUCCAAACUUAUGAAGGAAGGCAGAAUCAUGCCCUUUUAUAAGCAAAACUAAGGCUCUUUUUAGAUUUUUAUUUUUAGCUCUAAGUACCUCUUUUAUUUUUUAGUUUUACUUAGUUAAUCCUCCAUUUUAUGCCUUGUUGGCCAAGUUACUGCACUUAAUUUUCUGAAUUCCAAGUUAGAACCUAAUCUAGAGUGUUCCAGGGAGUUUCAAUUCAGUUAUCUGCAGGAUUCUCUAGGUAAAUUACCCCAAUUACCCUUGAAACUACCUAAAAUCGCUAACCUAGGUUAAAAGUUACCUCAGCCCCUUAAGAUUGGUCAAAUGACCAUGGUUAACUACUUAUAAAGGCUAGAAAUUUUCAGCUAUGUCCAAACAACUAACAAAAAUCCUAACGAUUAAACUAAUCAGCCUAAUUAAUCAAACUAAACUUUGAACUUAGUAAAACAUUAGUGCCCUAAGUUUAAAAAUAAUAGAUUAACAAUUAACUAACAAGUAUAAGUUGAAACUAAUGUAAAAUUCAUGUCAUGUGAUACACAAAAAUAUGAAUCAACGGUAUUGCCAUUAAUUCUAAGAACAUUGAAAAUAAAGAGAGAAACAAUCAAAUUAACUAAACUAAACAAUGAAAAAUAAAAACUAAACACUGGAUUAACUAAGCAAAACAAAAACUACACUAAAAAUUAAAAUAACUCCAAACAGAAAUAGCAUACACGAAAAAAUGAAAAAUAUAGUCAAAUAAGAAAGAAAAAUAAGUAUUUAAUGUUUACAUUAUAAUUCUGUUACUAUAAUAAUUUGUUCCUUGCCAAACAACCCCUUGAAAUUUUAUGUAAUCCUCCCCCCACCUAACAUAGAUACACAAAAUAAAUGGGGUUUCCUAAAAUCCGAAAAUAAAUGCAGUAAAACCUCCGGUCAAACUUUAUUAAAUUGUCAGAGAUGCAAACCAACCAAACAGGAAAUCACUCCUAAAUGGAGCUGUGCUACCAAUCACCGUAAACAAGGUAGUAAAAUUCUACGUGAAACCACGCGCGAAUGUGAAGCGUGAGGGUCUGGGACCCUAAGAAGGAAUAAAUUGCUAUAGUCAUGUAAAUAAAAAAACCUGCUGGUUUUGUACAUAACCUUGGGCGGACAUGCCGGCUUUUGGGUAAGUUAUAGUAUCCAAAAGUUUAAUGAAAACACGCGUACAUAGACGUGUCUUGUCUUUAAUUGGCCCGCCGAAUGGGGCGGCGAGUCGAUCAAUUUUGGCCCCACCACAUAUGCAUUACCCUGAGGAAACAAAAAGACCCGCCGUCAACGUCUAUAACGGAUCCAUAUCGUGCGGCGAUUUAUCGGACCACCGCCGACAACUCGUCUUCACCAAUAAUGUCCGGUUCCAUUUAGUUCCCUAUCUUUCACGUGUAUAGUUAAUACUAUUUUUUAGUAACUUUUUGUUGGAAAUAAUGAAUUUCAACGAAAUUAAAGUUGUAUUCUCAUAAAUAUCAAAUAAUACCAAGUUUCUUUUUUAAAAUUGUACCUUGGUUAUAUUUUACUCUAUUCAUUUACUUUUACUUGGCGUAUAUACUAAAAAAAUUUAUUUUUACUUUUAUUUGUUACUUUAUGCAUAUCAAGAAAAGAUAAAGAAUAAUUUCUGCUAUACCCACACUAUUACUCAUUUCAAAUUAUUUUGUAAAAUCUAAUAAAAUAUGUAUCAAUUAAAAUCACAUCAUGAUAAAUUAUGCACUUUACUUAUUAUUUCUUAAGAAGCGUGAAAAAUAAAAUGUACCAAGUAAAAGUGAAUUAUUUUUUUGUAAACUUUGGUGUAAUUAUAUUGCAUUUCAUUAAGCACCUCUAAUUGUGUCAUUAAAACUUCUUUUUAUCAUAAUUUGAAUUACAUUAAACUAAGAAAUAUAUAUGGCAAUUUUAGUUACAUUAAUUGAAGAUUUGUCAUUUGCUUAAUUUUUUUCUAAAAGCGUUUAUAUCUUCUAAGUUGUAUAGGUCCAAAUUUAACGAUCACGACCAAUACUGAGUACGACGAAGAACGAGAUUAUCAUGGUGCGGCGUCCGAUGGUUGUCGUUGUAAAAGGCAGUGACCAAGGGCAGUUAGUUAAUGAACGACAUCUACGAUGGUGUAAGCUUAGUAGGAGACAGUACGUAUAUGCUUUUCGAAUAUUUUUUAUGUUGUACUUUUUUAGGGUUUUAGGGGAGUAUUGUCCAUUAUAAAUAAGGACAGUCGGUGAAGAAAAUGGGGGGUCCGGACAAAAAAGAUAAAAGAACACUUUGUAAAAAAAUCAUCUGAAGGUGAAUACAAAAGCAACCUUGUUCGUUGAUUGCACAUUUGGAAAUUAAAAUCUUUGUUCGAUAUUAAGAAGGAUUCAGGAUCCUACAAUCAUCUCAUCCUUAUUUAUUUUCUAAGCCAAUCGCAUUUAUUAAGCUUGAUUGCGUAUUUAUGAGCAUUCAUUUGAUUUCAACAUACUAGGAAGCAUCAUUCAUCUUGUUAAUUUCUUUCAUCCUUGAUCUAGAUUAUAUUACGCUUGGCUAAGAUUUACCUCUUUAUCUUUAUUAAUUGAUUUAAUCAAAAAAGUUGCGAUAUCUUUUGGUCAUUUGGCAUCGUCUGUAGGAAUUUCUUUAGUCAAGAUUUAGUUUUAUCUAGAUCAUAAAAAGGGAUAGUCACCUCUUUCCUAACUUUGCAUAAACUAACAAUGGAAGGAAACGGAGAUACAAUGUUAAAAGCAAUAGCAUGUGUCACAACCAAUAUCCUGAACACUAUCAACGAAGAUGGAAGGGAUGAUAAUAAAAACGUGAUACCAAACACUAUACCUAGGAGAGACACUUCACCUCCCCCGCAUGAAAGCGUAAUUGCUUCAUGCAAGAAGGAAGCCUCCACAUCUAUAACAUGAGAGGCACCACAGGCGUAAAAAGACUAUUGGAAGAGUGACGGACAAACACUCUGAACAACAUACUUGAUAAACCCGCUCAAUGGGAGAAUAGAGACAUUACACAUAUACAGAUGUCGUAAUAAUUGCCGGCAAACUAGAUACCCCCUCCUUUCCCCAUACAGGUAACAAUCAUAUUAUUGUUGAUAGAGGUAAUGACGCACUUGCAUUAAUCCUAAAGAAAAUGGAGGAAAUGAAAAAUGAGAAUAAGGUGUUCUGUGACCAGAUGAAUGAGCAUCAAGAAAGGGUCGACAAAAUACCAGGCGUCCUAAAGUUGUUACCAAAAUGGGACAUCGGAAGAUUUAUCGAGAAAUCAUACAAUGAAGAAGAAGCCCCCCACGCCAUUCUAAAAAUCUCCAAAAUACUUUCAUACAUGAAAAUAUACGAUUGUGUUAUAGACCUAGAAGAUCAUAUCAUCCAUUACGUCACAGCCGUAAAUGGCAACGAUCUUUCAAUAGGACAAGUACCAUAGGUGAUGCUGAAAAAGUUCAGGGAAACCCUAAUAGGGGGGGGCCUAACGUGGUACUCGCAACUACAAGCACGGCCAACAACAACAUUCAAAGAAAUGGAAGAUAAGUUUGUCAUCGCUCAUGCAGGAGGUAAAAAGGCGGAAGCUAGGGUAACUGACAUAUUCGUCGUUAGGAAAAUGCUCGACGAAGGACUUAGCGACUUCCCAGCCCAAUUAAACAGAGUGAGAAUUAGCCUACUAAAUGUGUUAGAGGGGAUGGCAGUAGCAGCCUUUCGGAAAGCGUUAAGAAGGAGUAGGUCAAGAGCGAUCAGAAAGCUGUUAAGCAGGCUCAUGAAAUUACCUCCCACUACCUGGAAAGAAAUCCACAACGCCUAUAGCACCGAGGUUAGGGAAGACGAGAAAGACCUCAAUGGUCUGAUCCAACGGGUGACGUCAGUUCAAAUUGAAGCAAGGAAAGAUUGUCGUAAUGAUUGCUGAAGGGAUUAGCUACCCCACCUCAGUCGAGAAAGGCAUCAGCCCUACAUCAGAACAUCCAUCCCACCUCCUACACGGCGCUACAGCAAAACGAAAGAGGUAUGCCUCCACUCUUAUCUGCUCACAAUUUUUUGUGUUUCUCCUUCAGAAAUAGUGUAUGCACUAGAGAAGCUCGGCUUAAAGGUAAAAUGUCCGCAAAAGAUAAUAUGAUCUGAGCACCUGGAAGUCGAAUGUUCUUUGUGCAUUCCACCAGGAAAAGGGUCAUAAAACUGAUGAUUGCAUAGGCCUGCGGGUUAAACCAGGGACACAUGAAAGAACUACUGAGCGACCGAGGAUGAACUAACUUUGCUCGCAAACACGAACAACCCUUUGGACCCUUAAGAUUGCCUUUCCUCGUUGUACCAUAUAAAUGAUCAUUGAUGGAGGUAAUGACAUAAAAAUAUACUACGUAAAGUUCAUUACUAUACACAAACUCAAAUGGUCGAUCACCAAUAAAUGGUAUUAUGACCUCAAAGACAGUAUCAUCUUUAAUAAAUCAAAUAACGAUGAUUUUUCUUUCCCUCAUUAUGAUGCUCUUGUUAUCACUUUACAUAUUGCAGAUACUGACGUAAAAAGAAUAAUGGUGGAUGACGAAAGUGGCAUGUGUAUUAUCCAUCAUUGAGUCCUUGUGCAAAUGAGAUUCGAUGAGAAAAUAAUACCGUGUUGCAUAACACUAACGGGUUUUAAUAAUGUAGUCGAACGAACUUCUAGAGAGAUACUAUUGCCUAUUCUAGACGGAAGAGUCACCCUAGAAAUGACGUUUCAUGUCAUGGACCAAGAUAAUACCUACAACACCAUCAUAGGGCACCCAUGGAUACACGCCAUGCAAGUAGUCUCGUCAAGUCUCUAUAGAGUAAUCAGGUUUCGCACUUCAUAAGGGAUAUUCAGCAUCCGGGGUAAACAACCCAGCGGCACAAAAGUGUUAUUGCAUCGCCCAGGAUUAAGCAUAUACCCAAUAACUAGAAGGAGCAAGCGCACGGAAGCAGAACAAUCAGCGAUGUUGGGGACCAAAUGCGAUGUACAGAUAGACACUAUCAAAGACCCCGACAUCGUAGAUGCCUAUGAGUGGACCAUAGAAGACCUCGAUCCUGUCCACCUGGAUGACAGCGACAACAAAACAAAAGGCUUUUAUCGGGUAUAAUAUCGUAGAACCAUGUAAGUUCCAUAAAGUCUUAAUUGGCAGUGUCGAUUUGUUUGCCUUCUCCCAUUCAGAUAUGCCGGGCAUCACAAAAAAUAUCUCCAUGCACAAACUAAAUGUUGACCACCUUUACCACAUGUGCUAAAAUUCAGGAGAAAGUUUAAUGAGGCAGUCAACAAAGAAGUUGAUAAGUUGCUCGUCAGUGGCUCCAUCCGAGAGUCCAAGUAUCCUUAGUGGGUCGCUAAAGUGGUCAUGGUGAAGAAGAAAAAUGGGAAGUGGGAUGUGCGCCUAAAUAAGGCAUGCCCGAAAGAUUCCUUUCUAUUACCGCAUAUCGACCAGAUCAUCGAGGCAACAACGGGACACGAGUUGCUAAGCUUCUUAGAUGCCUACUCGGAUUACAACUAGAUCUUAAUGGAAGAAGAGGACCAAGAGAAAACUACUUUAUCACUCACCAAGUAACAUACUACUAUAGAGUCAUACCAUUAAGUCUUAAGAAUGCAGGGUCAACAUACUAGAGGUUAGUCACCAAGAUGUUCAAAACAAAUCCGGUAAAACAAUAAACGUCUAUAUCGCUGACAUGCUGGUCAAGUCAGAAAGGAAAGAAGAUCACAUCGAUCAUCUGAAGGAAGCCUUCGACAUACUAAGGCAGCAUAGCAUGAAACUAAAUACCAAAAAAUGCGCCUUCGGCGUAACCUCGGGCAAAUUCCUCGGCUUCCUAGUAUCACAAAGAGGCAUCAAGGUCAAUCCAAAUCAGAUUAAAUCCAUCAAAGAAAUACUGAAAACAUCGACCAGCAAAAUUAAGGUAGAAAAAUUGACGGGUCGAAUAGCCGCUUUAUCAAGGUUCAUCUCACGGUCAUCAGAUAGAUGCCAUAAAAUUUUCAAUGUGUUAAAGAAAGAUAAUGGACUUUAGCGGAAUUCAAAAUGUGUCGACACCGUAAGAAAAUUGAAAGCAUACUUGUCCUCACCACCAUUACUCGCCAAGGCGGAUCCAGACGAGUGUCUCCUAGUCUUCCUAGCUGUCUCCGAGUUGUGGCAAGCUCAUUUCUAGUCCGUAAAAAUAAAGGUACGCAAUCUCCAAUUUACUAUAUAAUCAAAACCUUAAUUGAUGCAGACUCUAGCAUUAGUCAUAGCUUCAUGAAAGCUUAGACCAUAUUUUCAAUGUUACCCCAUAAAUGCGGUGACAACUUUUCCUCUUAGGAGCAUCAUACACAAACCCGAACAAUCUGGUAGAUUGGCCAAAUGGGCCAUAGAAUUGAUCAAUAACGAUAAAACAUGUAAAUCACGAACUGCAAUAAAGUCGCAAGUGCUCGCCGAUUUCGUCGUCUAUUAUGUUCUUGCAGGUGCUUAAGGUUAUCUUGAUGUUGAUAAGUUAAAUGGUUGGACUAGAGAUGAACUAGUGAAUAAAUUUUCUAAUUGAAGAUAGUUGGAGUUGUGGAUUGUUUCCUUUGUUAUAAAUAUAUGGUAUAUGGGUAGAAGCAUUUAUGAAAAAAUUCACUAUCAUGUUAAUGAUGUUAUUAAGUUAAUGUAAGAAGUUUAUAAUGGAAGAGAUGGGAUAUACGGUGUCCAAUCGGAGCUUGCCACUCAUCGUGAAGAGUUGUGACUUAUUAUUGUUAUAUAGUGUCUUGUUAUUGAUAUUUAUAUGUUGAUGGAUUUCUAUGGUUGUUUUUGUAGGUAUAUGGUAUUGGCGGAGGCCCUUGUUACAGGGGUGAUGCUGCCCGAAUUUACGUAAAUGAGCUACUAGCUUAUGUUACAGACUUAGCCUUUGCUCAGCAUUGAUUUUGAAUUUCCUCAUACUAUGAUAGAUUGGGUUGACUUAUUUGAAAAGUUUCUUGGAAGGUAUUAAGGACUCAACAUGUUUAAGGUAUAUUAAGGCACUUACUUCUUUCUUUUGGCAUGAUCUAAUGUGCCAUGAACAUGAAUAGUACGCCAAUUCAUAACGGAUCUACUCCUAAAAACUAAGGUUUUCCAUGUUGUUCUUUCCUUAUAAAGUUAUUGUAAAUAAGUGUGUAUGAUCUUUAAAUCCUAUUAAGGUUAAUAUUGAUGAUAGGGAUGUCCAUAAUGUUAAUCGAAGGUGAAAUGACCUUAUAUCACUCCGAAAGGGUUAGAACGUGAUUCCAUGAGUCAAGCAUGCAUUACAUAUAUGUGUCUAUUUUACUCUACUGAGCAGUACUAUAAUCGACAGGGUACAACACCUAUUGUGUAACUACUGAUUAGUUGGGUGUACUGGGCUCCACGUGGCGGGUACGAUUCUACCGAGCAUUCUGAUGGCUGGGUACGUUUUUAUCGAGUCAUAUUUGAGGUCGGAUACGAUAUGAUAAUGAUGAUGAUGAUGCCUACAUAGGCGUAUGUUUUUAAAAGCUUAUGUAUAUAUAUGUAUUAUUCAUUUCAUCCCAGUAGCCCCCAGAGGCACUCAAAUAUUAUAGGUUGUAUCUUCUCUGCAUCUCUUUACAUUAUUGUUCUUAUUUAUGCUUUCCUGCCUUAUAUACUCGGUACAUUAUUUAUACUGACGCCCUUUUUUCCUGGGGACACUGCAUUUCAUGUAUGCACGUCCUAAUUGAUAGGUUGACAGUCCUCCUAUUAGGCUAUCAGCUCCGUGAAGGUGUUGGCACACUCCACUUGCUUCGGAGUUGCCUAUUUAGUCAGUAUGCUUUGGAUAUGUAUUGUUUGGUAUGGCGAUGCCCUGUCCCGACCUUAAUGAUUUUAUGUAAUCUUGAAGCUUGUAGACAGAUGUCCGGUGUAUGGAUAUUUGUAUGGCCUUGUCGGCCUACGUUUUGAGAUUACAAAUGGUCAUGUCGGCCUAAUAGGCUCGUAUGUCAUAUGUAUAAGUUUGUAUAUCAUGUUGAGUCCUCAUAUAUUGAGUAUUUCUUUAAGUUGUAUUCUUGUUAUGUCAUGAUGGGUUUUUUGGCUCAUUUACUCAUGAAAGUAUGAUAAGGAAGAUAUUUUACGAUUGGUACUCGGUUGAGUAAGGCCACGGGUGCCCGUCGUCGCCCUUCAGUUUGGGUCGUGGCGAAAGUGGUAUCAGAGCAGUUCUGUCCUAGGGAGUCUACAAGCCGCGUCUAGUAGAGUCUUGUUUAUGGGUGUGUUGUGCACCACACUUAUAAACACGAGGCUACACAACAUUUAGGACUUUCACUAUUUCUUCUUAUGUUAGAUCAUGUGGUAGAGCUCAGUCGUAAGAACUCAUCCUAAAAUCUAUUUUAUUCGUGAUACGACGAUGCCUACAUCCAGAAAGAUAGUUAGUAAGAGAUUGAAUGUCGAUGUGGAAGAGUUUAUCAGAGGAACUUGAUUUUGUAUCAUGCUUAUGAUGCGUAAAUGUUAGGUCUUCGACAGAUCAUAUAUGUACUAAGAUGUGUGAGCUACUUGAUAAGGAGCCCCAAGGCAUGAAUAUCUAUCCACCCAUAUGGUAAAGAGAAACAAGAGAAUUAGGAGGUGGAUGUAUGUUUCAAUAAAUGAAAGAAAUAACAUUAAAAAAAGAAGUACGAGGUAUCUAGAUAAUGAAGAUUAUUAGUAUUUGCAAUUCAAGUAGAGAAAUAAAAGCAUUCUGAGUUACUUUCAACAGUAACAGAGUUAUAUACAAUUGAUCACACCUAUCUCAAUUAUUCCUUAUGGGAACUGACAAAUAUAGUAUAAGAGAAUGAUUUAAUAUCAGGAUCAAGUUGGGGUUAGAAUAACAAAAAAAUUGUGGUUAGAUUAUUAUCAUUAGCUAAUAUUUCCGAAGGGUAGUGCAAAUGUGGUAAUAGAUCUCCUUGUGAGACACCCAGAUUGUGAACUCUAGAGUAGUGCAAUCAUAUAUGAAUACUAGAAUAUUCAGAAAUUCCAGAAGAUAGGCAACGAAAUCCUAAAAGGGAUAAAUAUUUACCUUAGUAUGACUCCCGCCCCUAGAGAGAGAGAGAGAGAGAAAGAGAGAAAGAGAGAGAGAGAGAGAGUUUUAGGCAUCCCGAAGAGCUAGUAAGAUGAAGCAAGAGGAGAUAAAAGUUAAAGAAUGUUUUGUUGAAGUUUCCAGAAUAAAGAAAUAGAUAAAACUAUUAGCCGGAGAAUAUGAAGAGAGUUAAUGAAAUAUUAUGAGUAAGGUGUGAUAAAUGGUAUGAAAGGAUGACAGAGUCUACAGUCAAGUGAAGGGAAAGACAAAAGGUGACAUGCCAUGAUGAAAUAAAGUGUAUAAGCCAUAAAGCCACAUCCCUAUUUUGAGAAAUGAGUUUAUGACUCCGACGUGAUUACCAGAAGGAAAAGGUAGACCCCAGAGUAAUAGAAAAAAGUAUGGGCUGGUGAACAAGAUAAACUGAACAUGAAUUAGGAAUCGAAUGAUUUGAUAAUAGUCACCAUGAUUAGAAUUUUAGAAAUUUCGUUCCGACGAUAAUAGAAUGUACAACAAAAGAAUAACCUUUAAAGGUCAUUCAGCAAGAUGCUUCCCUAGAGCAAGCACUGUGAGCAGAGUUACUCAUAAGGGACUAAGUGUGCUAGGUACACUAGGUCACCUUUGUGCAUAAGCAAUUUAGUUAUCCCUGGUAUAUAAGGUUACUAUCAUGCAAUUAAGAUUCAUUGAUGAUGUGAAAAGACACCAAAGAUGAAGAGGUAAAACAUCUAUAGGUAGAUUAUCGUAGUACUAAAUCUUGGUACUCCCCUAAAGGGGGGAAUAUGGUGUGAUAUGGUAUUAAGUCGGAGUUAAGCAGUUCAGGUAAUUAUAGAAAUGGUAAAGGAGGAAUAUGGUAAAAAGGAGAGAGGGAUGAUGUUGCAUUUAUUCAAUUCCUACAAAUAUGUUGCGACUCCAGAACAUUUUGCAAGCCCAACACUUGGGAGAGGCAGUAAAGGUUUUCGGCUAGGAUAUUAUUGAUAAAUAAGUGUGAAUGGACACUUGAUACAUCAUGAACUAGUGGCUAGAGGUAAGUUAAGACAAAGAUAUAUCCCAUGAGAAAUUAUGCAGAAUAUAUAUAUGAGAAUGGAACUCCGAGUUUUAAUAGUUGAUUCAGGAAGAGCCCACUUAUGGCUAGACAAGAGGUCAAAGAUAAAUCGAUAGAUCAUCCAAGAUAAAUGUAGUGAACCACAAUAUAGGGAAUUCACUCUCGUAGAUAUGAGAUCGCAAUUAUAAAAAAAAAAAUUAAAUAGGAUUUGAGGCAGUUAAAGGUAUCAUUUAAGUUUUAUGAAAAUAAGAGAGAGUGCGACUAAGGAGACAAUCAAAAUUUGAGCCUAGAAGUAACACUAUGAGCACAAGGACACGAAGUUAUGUAACUAUGGAAUAUAAUUGGCAAGUAAGAACAACGAAAAUUUCCUUCGGGUGCACGAUAUAACAAGCUUGCAACUUUACAAGACACAGAAGGUCUCCCUAAAAACUGCAACGAAAGACUAGCUAAGGAAGUAAGGGAGAAAGUUUUCACCUAAGAAUAGUGAGCUAAAGAGUAAAUGAUCUUGUAACAACAGUUUCACUACAAUAUUGUACACACUCCAUAAGAAAGUGGCAUCUAUCGUGGCUAGUGAAUGGGAAGACAAAAAAUCAAAGGUGAUGUUUGAGAUUAUAUGAGGUACAGGAAAUUACAGUAUUCGUUGGCAAUAAGACAAGCCAAGUAUUCAUGCAAUAAGUGAUAGAACGACCAAGAAACGUAGUUGCUUAAAUUUAAGGACAACUGAGAAGACACAAAAGGAAAUUUAUGGUGCUAGCAAUUUUAAGGAAGGUUGCGAGUAGUAUAAAUUGAUAGGUGUAAGUUAUAAGGUAAAGUAUUGAAGAGAAACAAGGUUUUAGGUAGAUAGGGCAAAGGUUAAGAAAAAACAAGUGAGAAGGUGACAAGAAUAGGUGAGUCCUCGGGAUUAAACCCAUCAGAACUAGAGAGUUGAUAGCUUUUAUAACUUACUGAAAGAUCGCUACAUCCUGAAUGAACUCAGAGGAAUCAAAGACUAGGUGUAUUUAGAAGAGGUGGAAUGUUGCACUGGUAGUAGAAUAAGGGCGUAAUUGUGAUAAAUGAUAAGAGAGUAACGUUUAGGCCUUUUAUUGGGUAAUGAUUGAAAGAGAAUGGAUUUCAUAAAUUGCACGGGAUUUGAAUACUUCCGAAAGAUGAAUCAUGUUGGGAUACAAUGAAAUAUGGUUAUUGCAGUAUUGUAUCUGUCACACCUCCUUUUUUUCCACGACAACCCGGCGAAAGGUGUAGAUAAGGGAGUUUUUCCAAUUAAAGGACAAUGGAAACGAGAUUAAAUUAUUUAAGGGAUUUCAGAUUUAUGGUGUCCCAAGUCACCGUUUAGAAUCCGGAAUCAAGGAAAGAAUGACUCUGUUUAACAGUCCACGAACAAGAAAUCCAGGUAAGGAAUUCUAUUAACCCGGGAGAAGGUGUUAGGCAUUCCCGGAAUCUGUGUAUCUAGCACAGUCGCUCAACUGUUAUAUUUGGCUUGAAUUAUCUGAUUUUAAACAAUUAUGAACCUCUGUGCAUUUUAAAUCUUUUAACCAUUUUUAUUAUUAUAACUUUUAGAGAGAAUUGCAAUGUCGUUAAAACAUGUCUCGAGUCACGUCACAUAAAUGCACCCAUGGUUCUUGACACAUUUCAACUUCGUUGGGAUUUGGAUUUGGGUCACAUAAAUGUGCACCUGAAUUUAGGAAAGUAGUUAUUAAGCACGCACCUAGAGCAGCUACGCAUUAUUAACUUUGUGAGGGUCAUGGAAUUUACGUCUCGAAUCUAAGGAUAAACAAGAUUAAUUUAAAUAAAAGGCCGUGCAUUUGAAAUUUUUAUUCGACGCGGCACACAUCAAUUUAUUUUGAAAACCAUAACUAUAAUGUUUUCUAAAUUUGAUAUUAUCACGAAGAGUUAUGGAGAGUAAUUGUAACAUACGGGUAAGCCUCAAACUGAUUUAAUCGUAAUUAAACAUUUUCACAGUCACAUCACAAUGAAUAAACUAGAAACAAAUGCUAACUAACACUCAAAAUGACGCCACUUAAUAUUACAAAAGAAAAGAAUACAAAAAUACUACAUGAAACACCUUUCAUCAAACAAACUUUCCAUGAAAUAGUUGGCAAUUAACUCCAUGUGUAUACUUAAUCGGAUAAUUCAAAUCGAAUAUCAAAAAAUUUGAAACGCACAACAUCACACUUUCAACAAAGAAAUGGUGAAGUAGCUUCAACGGGCUCCAACCAUGUGACAGAAUAUUUAACAAAACAGUAUGGUCCAAUAAUUGGCCCAGAUCCACGAAAAUCGCGCGAUUACCAGAAUUAUAUUCUACUCAUCUCAGCUUGAAUGUAUUAAACAGAUAUUAAUCGCGCGAUUACCAGAAUUAUAUUCUACUCAUCACAGUUUGAAUGUAUUAAACAGAUAUCAACAUUUAGAGCGGAAAUCGAAAUAACGAACGGACCUUAAAUGGAGACAAUCUGAACAAAGACGACAGCAAAUCGGACGCGAAACCACGAACCUCGUCCUCGAGCAACACAGCUGAACCAAGCUACACCAACAAAGCUUCACACAAAAUCCAUGAAUGAAAAUCAAAACCAGAAACUGUUAUUUUUGACUCUCUGUAUGUGUGUGUGCGACUGAAAAUUGGUAGGAAGAGGAAGGUCCAAUGGUGUGUUUACUGUCGAUUUCCCAACCCCUGCUAUUUUGUUUCGCUUCAGUCCAGAAGAGAGGUGAGAGCUCGUCGUGGGUGUAUGUUGUUGCGGUGUGACUCGUUUUCCGGCGAGGGUGUAUGUGUGUGUUUGUUGGAUUCCGGUGAGCUGGGAUGUUGCUGUGUGACUCGUUUUCCGGCGAGGGUGUAUGUGUGUGUGUUUGUUGGAUUCCGGCGAGCUGGGAGGUUAAUGGAGGAGAAGACACUGAAGAGAGGGGUGGGUCAUUCGGAGAAGAUGGGAGAACCAUUAGAGAAGACGACACCAGGGGGUCCGUCCUUUGUUUGUCCUCUGCACAGUUGCGCCUCUUCCGGGCGUGUAUUGUAUCGUGUAUAGGC
This 13366-nucleotide long non-coding RNA is filed under the name Nicotiana benthamiana. RNAcentral's name for it is "long non-coding RNA (NBEN_LNC036342)". The record is from RNAcentral. Lineage: Eukaryota; Viridiplantae; Streptophyta; Magnoliopsida; Solanales; Solanaceae.